RNAcentral lists this ribosomal RNA (119 nucleotides) under Pelobates cultripes (western spadefoot toad). The record is from RNAcentral. Lineage: Eukaryota; Metazoa; Chordata; Amphibia; Anura; Pelobatidae.
GCCUACAGUCAUACCAGUCUGAAAGUGCCUGAUCUCGUCAGAUCUCAGAAGUCAUGCAGACUUCGGCCUGCUUAGUACUUGUAUGGGAGACCAACUAGGAACCUCAGGUGCCGUAAGCU